RNAcentral lists this ribosomal RNA (397 nucleotides) under uncultured bacterium. Its description in RNAcentral is "partial 16S ribosomal RNA". It matches the Rfam family "Bacterial small subunit ribosomal RNA", at positions 523 to 918 of the family's 1533-position model. The record is from RNAcentral.
AUACGUAGGGGGCGAGCGUUGUCCGGAAUGAUUGGGCGUAAAGGGCGCGUAGGCGGCGCGGUAAGUCUGGAGUGAAAGUCCUGCUUUCAAGGUGGGAAUUGCUUUGGAUACUGCCGCGCUUGAGUGCAGGAGAGGUUAUCGGAAUUCCCGGUGUAGCGGUGAAAUGCGUAGAGAUCGGGAGGAACACCAGUGGCGAAGGCGGGUAACUGGACUGCAACUGACGCUGAGGCGCGAAAGUGUGAGGAGCAAACAGGAUUAGAUACCCUGGUAGUCCACACUGUAAACGAUGAAUGCUAGGUGUAAGAGGUAUCGACCCCUUUUGUGCCGGAGUCAACACAAUAAGCAUUCCGCCUGGGGAGUACGGCCGCAAGGUUGAAACUCAAAUGAAUUGACGGGG